GAAUUCCCUGAUCUGCGUAACAUCGGACAUCCAGGCCAACCUUGGCCAGCCUCCUUGACUGGCCUCCAGCCAGUCCUCUCCACUGGGCGUCUGCUCCUCACUUCCCCCGAGCAGUUGCUGCCUUCAUCCCCUCUCCGGUCCCCUGCUUCUGCCCAGCAGGCCCUCUGUCCUGGCUCAGCCUCCUCAGUGAAGCUCACAGACCCUCUGUGAAGACCUGCGAGCUCUCACCUGGCUCCCCUUCUCAGAAAUUCUGUAGCCUUACAACCUUGAUACAGCCACUGUGUAUUUUAUUGUCUUACUGCUCUUGGGGCUCAGGUCCCCUGACUCUUGGUUUAACAUCCCUGUGGUGAUGUCAGGCUUCCAGGAACCCUCAGACCACCUCUGAAACCUGGAGGAAUCAGCUGCUCAUUGCAGAGCUUGACGGGAGCUCUGGGCUCCCCAGGAGCCGAUGCAAUUGAGCCUGUGGCCCAUCUGAGAAUGAGCCACGAUCAACAUUCCUGCAGCUGAGUGACCAUCUCAAGCAAUCAUUUUGAGAAGCUGUUGGGAGUCCCUCUCCUCCCUGCCCCUGACAUCCUCCAGAGGCACCAAAGGAACCCCGCUGGCGUGGGCAUCCCGGCCACAUCCGGCAGCAGUGGUGGCCGCAGCAGCCCUCCCAGCAGGCAUGCUCCACCCAACAGUAUGCGGGAAGGGCCCUCAAAGCGCCAGGAACUCUGCUGAGAGCUCAGGAGCCUCGAGGAACAAAGCAAAGGUCCCGGAUCUCAAGGAGCUUAACAUGCCCGUGGAAAGACAGACAAACGCUGAACGUUUAGGGAAGUGAAAUUCUAGGGAUAAGCUGGCCUCCAAAUUGGGGCUGAACCUCUGACAGGAAGUCAGGCCAUUGCAGCAAGAUGGUUCCAAGGGUGGUUGCAUCCCUUGCUUGCUACGUGACGGCAGCCAGGCUUUGAUUUCUCAGCCGCAGGACUUUCCUGGUGAUGUUAGGAGGCACAGACUGUGGGUCCUUGUCCUGAGUCUGACUGCAGCAUCCUGCCCCAUAAGCCUUGCCUGCUGCAUGACCUCCAGCAAGGCACUUGUCCUCCCGAGGCUCAAAUUCUUCACCAGCAAAGUAAGAGAGUUAGCCCUGGUGAGGGAAUCCCUGACCAGCCUGACUUUGGAAUUACACUGGGUACACCUGUUACAAACAGAUUACCAGGCUCACUGUAGACUUCACCUGUCAGAACCUACAGGGCUGAGUGAGGCCUGGGAGCAGUGACACCAACCAAUUUCCUGGUGAUUCCUAUAGUCUGUAAAUUUUACGAAAUCAAUCUUUUUUCUUGCUAU
Molecule: long non-coding RNA, 1317 nt
Organism: Canis lupus familiaris (dog)
Lineage: Eukaryota; Metazoa; Chordata; Mammalia; Carnivora; Canidae
Exons: 4
Source: RefSeq, a predicted model, not a curated record